GCUGGGCGUGGUGGCGCAUGCCUGUAAUCCCAGCUACUUGGGAGGCUGAGGUAGGAGGAUCGCUUGAGCCUGGGAAGUGGAGGUUGCAGUGAGCUGAGAUCGUGCCACUGCACUCCAGCCUGGGUGACAGAGUGAGACUCCAUUUCAA
RNAcentral lists this non-coding RNA (148 nucleotides) under Chlorocebus sabaeus (green monkey). The record is from Rfam by way of RNAcentral. Lineage: Eukaryota; Metazoa; Chordata; Mammalia; Primates; Cercopithecidae.